GCCUUAGCUCAAUUGGGGAGAGCAUUAGACUGAAGAUGUUUACGCAACUAUCAUCUAAAGGCCCCCCGGUUCAAUCCCGGGUUCCGGCA
Molecule: transfer RNA, 89 nt
Filed under: Dreissena polymorpha
Lineage: Eukaryota; Metazoa; Mollusca; Bivalvia; Myida; Dreissenidae
Rfam family: tRNA
About the family: Transfer RNA (tRNA) molecules are approximately 80 nucleotides in length.
Source: Rfam by way of RNAcentral